GUUUGGUCGCUGUGAUGCGGCGAUAGCUGAUGGGCGGGUGUAAUUCAUGUAACGUUGAUGCUGCAUUGUUGUGGUUUGGAUCAUUGAAAUGCAAUGAUACGCGUGAACUGGUGCUACCAAGGAUGGGACGAAGGUUGUCUAGCCCUUGUUUACUUUGCGAAUUUGGGAGGUGCCAAAUUACUGUAGCAACACUGUAGCAUUUCGUUUGUAUUUGUGAAUUAUUGUCCAAAUAUUGACUAAUUAGGCUCAAAAGAUUCGUCUCGCAAAGUACAAUAAAACUGUGCAAUUAGUUUUUGAUUUCGUCUACAUUUAGUACUCCAUGCAUGUACCGCAAGUUUGAUGUGAUGGGGAAUCUUCUUUUUGCAUAGUGCCAAAGUUAGGAGUUUCGUAGGAAGUGAACAAGGGCCUAGUUGUUGUGCCAAAAGUGUACUCCACAGGAGAGGUUGGUUGACCACUGUAAUUUCAGGCCCUGUUUGGGACGGCGGGGGCGGGCGCGCGGUGGCGGUCGCGUACCGCUGGCUCCGCGGCCGCUUCUCGCGGUACACGGCCCGUUCAUUUUGCCGCGGGUUUUUCGAUGAGAGGGGACUGUUU
Molecule: long non-coding RNA, 591 nt
Filed under: Setaria viridis
Lineage: Eukaryota; Viridiplantae; Streptophyta; Magnoliopsida; Poales; Poaceae
Description: long non-coding RNA (SVIR_LNC011102)
Source: RNAcentral